This 363-nucleotide transfer RNA is filed under the name uncultured Microcystis sp. RNAcentral describes it as "partial 16S-23S ribosomal RNA intergenic spacer". The stretch from base 134 to 207 matches the Rfam family "tRNA". Lineage: Bacteria; Bacillati; Cyanobacteriota; Cyanophyceae; Chroococcales; Microcystaceae. The record is from RNAcentral.
AAAGGGAGACCUAAUUCAGGUAGGAGACGAAAAAAAAGUAGUCCCAACCAAGAAUCAAUCCCAAAAGGUCGGAGCGAGGUAUGAGGCUUUCAAACUAGGUUCUGGGUUCAUAAAAGACCUGAAUCAGGAACAAGGGCUAUUAGCUCAGGUGGUUAGAGCGCACCCCUGAUAAGGGUGAGGUCCCUGGUUCGAGUCCAGGAUGGCCCACCUGCACAGGUGGCAAAAACAAAGAAAAGAAGCUCCGAAUCAGCACCUUAUCUUACUUAUAUAGUAAGAGAGAAUGCUGGCUCUGAGUUCAGAGUCCAGAGGAACCUUGAAAACUGCAUUGAGCUAGGUGAAAAAGCCAAAAAAGAAGACCGCAAG